UACGGAGGGUGCGAGCGUUAUUCGGAAUUACUGGGCGGAAAGCGCGUGUAGGCGGGGAAGCAAGUCUGAUGUGAAAGCCCUGGGCUUAAACUGGGAAGUGCAUUGGAAACUGUUUUUCUUGAGUACUGGAGAGGAAGGGAGAAUUCCCGGUGUAGAGGUGAAAUUCGUAGAGAUCGGGAGGAACACCAGUGGCGAAGGCGCCCUUCUGGACGGUUACUGACGCUGAGACGCGAAAGCGUCGGGAGCAAACAGG
This 253-nucleotide ribosomal RNA is filed under the name uncultured bacterium. Its description in RNAcentral is "partial 16S ribosomal RNA". It matches the Rfam family "Bacterial small subunit ribosomal RNA", at positions 524 to 776 of the family's 1533-position model. The record is from RNAcentral.